RNAcentral lists this ribosomal RNA (564 nucleotides) under uncultured crenarchaeote. RNAcentral describes it as "bacterial SSU rRNA". It matches the Rfam family "Archaeal small subunit ribosomal RNA", at positions 908 to 1472 of the family's 1478-position model. The record is from RNAcentral. Lineage: Archaea; Thermoproteati; Thermoproteota.
GGAGUCACGCCAGAAAUCUUACCCGGAGAGACAGCAGAAUGAAGGUCAAGCUGAAGACUUUACCAGACAAGCUGAGAGGUGGUGCAUGGCCGUCGCCAGCUCGUGCCGUGAGAUGCCCUGUUAAGUCAGGUAACGAGCGAGAUCCCUGCCACUAGUUGCUAUCAUUAUUCUCAGGAAUAGUGGGGCGAAUUAGUGGGACUGCCGUUGUUAAAACGGAGGAAGGAAGGGGCUACGGCAGGUCAGUAUGCCCCGAAACUCUGGGGCCACACGCGGGCUGCAAUGGUAGCGACAAUGAGCUCCAAACUCGAAAGAGAGUGGCAAUCUCUAAACGCUACCACAGUUAUGACUGAGGGCUGUAACUCGCCCUCACGAAUAUGGAAUCCCUAGUAACCGCGUGUCAUUACCGCGCGGUGAAUACGUCCCUGCUCCUUGCACACACCGCCCGUCGUUUCAUCGAAAUUUGCUUUUAGCGAGGUGAUGUUUAAUUGACAUUAUCGAACUUGAGGUAAGUGACGAGGGAAAAGUCGUAACAAGGUGACCGUAGGGGAACCUGCGGUCGGAUCA